GCCUGCACUUCGGGAUAAGCCUGGGAAACUGGGUCUAAUACCGGAUAGGAGCCAUUUUUAGUGUGAUGGUUGGAAAGUUUUUUCGGUGUAGGAUGAGCUCGCGGCCUAUCAGCUCGUUGGUGGGGUAAUGGCUUACCAAGGCGGCGACGGGUAGCCGGCCUGAGAGGGUGGACGGCCACAUUGGGACUGAGAUACGGCCCAG
RNAcentral lists this ribosomal RNA (202 nucleotides) under uncultured Actinomycetales bacterium. RNAcentral's name for it is "partial 16S ribosomal RNA". It matches the Rfam family "Bacterial small subunit ribosomal RNA", at positions 129 to 334 of the family's 1533-position model. The record is from RNAcentral. Lineage: Bacteria; Bacillati; Actinomycetota; Actinomycetes; Actinomycetales.